UUCUACCACAUUUAACUUCUUAUUUUUACAUUUCUCAGAAUCAUCAUUGAUAUAAUAAUAUACAGAUAUUUUUUGGCACGUCGAAACUUUCCAGCACAGCACGGCUUACACACAAAACAAUGAACAUCACAACACCAAAAAUCACGAGAAAAGUAAAAAUAAGAAGUUAAAUGUGGUAGAAAGUGUUGAUUAGUUGAACUAAACCUACAAAUGAAUAUAUUUUGCUAAUGAAUUCACUUUACAUUACAUAGCCAAAGCUAUGUCUCUAUUUUGAGGAGAGAAUUGAGAGAUGUACUAUUGAAUCUUUGAGCAAGGCCUCGGAUCACAAGGACAAUAACAUCUCGCAUAUGCCUGGAAUGGACCAUUAGAUCUACUUCAUUUUCACUGUCCACUACAAUCCUAAGCCGAUGUUGGUCAUUCCGGAAAAGUUCAACAUGAAAGGGAGGAGCAUAACUUCCACGAAUUUCAGUGGUAGGAAAAGAAGUCUUGGAGCCCGGCUUUACUACCUUGACUCUUUUCCUAUUAACUUCAAGAAUUCUUCUCUCAAGACUCCCCUCUCCUGGAACCUUUUUGGGAGAACGGUCCUUGUCACAUAAUGCCUCAAACUUCACAGAUCCAAGUUCAAGCUUCUGCUUCACUUCUUUAAGAACAUCAGGCUCAACAGCAAUUGGCUCUGUGGAUGCAGACACAGGCUGUCCUUCAACACCAUCCUCUCUAACAGGAGUAUAAAUAGCCACCAACCUGUACCCCACAUCAUCAACAUUAGCUUCAUACAUCCUUCCUGUCUCUCCUGGUAUGGAAAUCAGAUCAGGACUACCAACCAUUGAUCUAAGCCAUUGUAUUCUACUUUUGCCCUCCUUUCCUCCACUAUAAAUGCCUCGAACAGCAUAUAAGUUUGUGUGAAAACCCCUCCCUUCAAUCUCCACUUUAUCUAUACGAGGAAUCCCUGGCAAUACAGCAGCAGUCUCAGCAUAUGCUGGCUCACUUGACCUUCCAAACACAUCAGUCACAAUGCAUUCACAUCUCAAGCAUCUACCAAUGUCCUCUAGUCGCACCUUGUAAGAGCAGG
Molecule: unclassified non-coding RNA, 1069 nt
Filed under: Hevea brasiliensis (rubber tree)
Lineage: Eukaryota; Viridiplantae; Streptophyta; Magnoliopsida; Malpighiales; Euphorbiaceae
Source: RNAcentral